UCUAGUUCCUGUUCCCCGACUCCCAGCCGGCACGCUGACACACUUCCCCGGUGUCAGACUCCGGAUGGGGAUCGGGGGACAGGAGCCCUCCCGG
This is a regulatory RNA element of Leifsonia sp. Root60, 94 nucleotides long. It matches the Rfam family "mraW RNA". Lineage: Bacteria; Bacillati; Actinomycetota; Actinomycetes; Micrococcales; Microbacteriaceae. The record is from Rfam.